GCAUUCACAGAGCGUUUCGUUCGCAGCGGCAAUCACAGCCGCUCGUGCUCGCAUGAAGAUCCACACCAACCGGCCCCACAGCCCAUGUGGCAUUUCACCUCGGUCUCACUUCUGAACCAUUACCACGCGAUAUACCGAUGAAUACAGUCGACCGUAUCUGACUUUAGUGGGCCCGAUACGCCCUCCUCACGUACCAGGAUGGUGGGACUCCUCGCUCCCAUCUGGAGAGGCGGACAACCUCACCACCGCUCCUGCUCGUCGCACUCCUCCGCUAGCCGUCGACUAGCCCACAGUAGAGGAGGCGACCUCCCCUGUUACACGGAAAAAAGAGGAGGCGAACUCCCCUAUCCAAGCAUCCUCACGGUGCCAGAAGAGUUUGAGCCGCAACAGCGGCAAGAGAUGAGGAGAAAGAAGAGGGGAAGGAGAUGGAAGUUUCAGAUCCAAAACUGCUAUUCUUGUUUUCCUUCCCAAAUCUGCUUGCUUUUUUGGUUUACUGUGAUUCUAUGUUUUGAUGUGAUCUUUGUUUCUUGAUAGGAAGAGAUUGGAUGAGAAAAAUCUCCUCCUCAGAUUCGCCCAAAGAGUCAAUAGAUCGGGGAUGGUCCGAGGAGGAAGACAGCCAGGAGCGUAGCCUCCAGAUCUCCAAGCCGCUUCUCCUCCCUAGACUAUUGCAGUGCUCCUCGAUUUCCUCACCUGGCUCGUAACGUCCGUCACGCAGCGGGAUGAAGUACAGAAAAUGGUGGUCGCUCUCCCGAACAAAAGAGUUCUAGGUUGCUGCUGCUUCACGUCGUCGGGGCAUGGCUCGGGCUAUUACAAUUGGUGUGCUAAAAAGAAAUACCCUACUGGAUUUGGUCCCGGUGAAUUUGCUCUAAUGUUUCUUUACUUUUAGAAUGGUGGUCGCUCUCCCGAACAAAAGAGUUCUAGGUUGCUGCUGCUUCACGUCGUCGGGGCAUGGCUAGGGGUCGGCCACUAGAUGCUCUUUGACUUGAGUUUUGGGUCAUAAGAUACGCAAGGCCAGGGAGGAGCAUGCCUCUUGUCUUCACAUACUCAUCUUUUUUUUUCUAUGGAUUGGAAGGGGUUGCGGCUUGAUAGAUUUUGCAUAUUGCGUUCAAGAUUUGUUGUGCUCAUUAGUAGCACUUUUCCCGUGAAGUUCUUUUCGAGUGAAUCAGACAACAUUGCUUAAAGUAUCCGACUAAUAAAUAUUUGAAGAUUUGCAAGCACUAUUUUUAACCAA
Molecule: long non-coding RNA, 1231 nt
Organism: Hordeum vulgare subsp. vulgare (domesticated barley)
Lineage: Eukaryota; Viridiplantae; Streptophyta; Magnoliopsida; Poales; Poaceae
Exons: 2
Source: RefSeq, a predicted model, not a curated record